This 253-nucleotide ribosomal RNA is filed under the name uncultured bacterium. RNAcentral's name for it is "partial 16S ribosomal RNA". It matches the Rfam family "Bacterial small subunit ribosomal RNA", at positions 524 to 776 of the family's 1533-position model. The record is from RNAcentral. RNAcentral also lists the same sequence under 2 other names.
GACGAACCGUCCAAACGUUAUUCGGAAUCACUGGGCUUAAAGGGUGCGUAGGCGGCCUGGCAAGUCGGGUGUGAAAGCCCUCGGCUCAACCGAGGAAUUGCGCCCGAAACUGCCGGGCUCGAGGAAGGUAGAGGUGAGCGGAACUUAGGGUGGAGCGGUGAAAUGCGUUGAUAUCCUAAGGAACACCAGUAGCGAAAGCGGCUCACUGGGCCUUUUCUGACGCUGAGGCACGAAAGCUAGGGGAGCGAACGGG